GGGGCUGGAGAGAUGGCUCAGAGGUUAAG
RNAcentral lists this non-coding RNA (29 nucleotides) under Cricetulus griseus (Chinese hamster). RNAcentral also lists the same sequence under 1 other name. Lineage: Eukaryota; Metazoa; Chordata; Mammalia; Rodentia; Cricetidae. The record is from RNAcentral.